This 460-nucleotide ribosomal RNA is filed under the name uncultured bacterium. RNAcentral describes it as "partial 16S ribosomal RNA". It matches the Rfam family "Bacterial small subunit ribosomal RNA", at positions 338 to 795 of the family's 1533-position model. The record is from RNAcentral.
CCUACGGGUAGCAGCAGUGAGGAAUAUUGGUCAAUGGGCUUACGCCUGACCCAGCCAAGUCGCGUGAGGGAAGACUGCCCUAUGGGUUGUAAACCUCUUUUGUCAGGGAGCAACGCCGGCUACGUGUAGCCGGACUGAGAGUACCUGAAGAAAAAGCAUAGGCUAACUCCGUGCCAGCAGCCGCGGAAAUACGGAGGAUGCGAGCGUUAUCCGGAUUUAUUGGGUUUAAAGGGGUCGUAGGCGGAAUGCCAAGUCAGCGGGAAAAUCGCGGGGCUCAACCUCGCUCCGCCGUUGAAACUGGCGUUCUUGAGUGGGCGAGAAGUAUGCGGAAUGCGUGGUGUAGCGGUGAAAUGCAUAGAUAUCACGCAGAACUACGAUUGCGAAGGCAGCAUACCGGCGCCCAACUGACGCUGAAGCACGAAAGCGUGGGUAUCGAACAGGAUUAGAUACCCCAGUAGUC